Zootermopsis nevadensis is the source of this 1198-nucleotide non-coding RNA. Lineage: Eukaryota; Metazoa; Arthropoda; Insecta; Blattodea; Termopsidae. The record is from RefSeq and is a predicted model, not a curated record.
AAUGUGGUCGUAUAUAUUUGAUUGGAAAGAUGAAAAUGACUGUUAAAUUAUAUUUCAUUGCUUAUUAAAUUGGCAUCUGCUUAAUGCGUAGUUAAGAGCUUUUGUUGAAGAUUGAUGUCUUCUGGGUUGUUGGGCCGUGUAGUUUGGUAGAAGUUUUCCGACGUUCCAGAGAUCUUUGCUGCAUCCACGGCAAUCACGGUUGCUCAUGAUUUCAAGGGGUAAAGAGAAGGUUGGGCAUUUCAUUACGAACGAGAUUGGGUGCAACCCAAAUACUGUGGGCAGAAAAGAAGAUGCAAUUACAGUGGAACGUGUUGGCGAACAAACGGACAGCACAGACAUCAUGCUAAACUGACUGGUGAGAUAGACGGGUGUACGAAAUAUGCAGUAUCUGUUGAGAAAGCAGGAAACUGAGCUAAAGAAAAUGGUGAAACAAAAGACCAAGACACUGUCAAAAGAGAAAAACAUUUUAGUGGACGCGGUUGAUUACUCCACACCAAGUUCAUCUGAAAGACUCUCUUCUCAUCAUGAACACAAGUCUGCAAAAGCUUUGAUGCAGUCUGGUAACAGUGUACCCCAGACAACAAAGUCCAUAGACAUCUCUGGCCAUCCUCUCACAACAUUUCAGUCUGUUCAACAUCUUGCCCAAGCCCAAAUGACAAUACUGUCACAGAAUACUCGAAAGUGGCAACAGUUGGGAUGAAUUCUGGGACCUUCUUAAUACUGUGCUAGUGGUCAAAUGGUCAACCAUACUACCCAAGUUGAGGUCUUCUCUUCCGUCACCACUAAUAUCAAAAUAAAAUAGGUCCACAAUUUAUGAGGCUCCGUUUUUGCUUGGAUUGCGUGGUCGGCCGGUGCUCUGUUGAUAUGGGCGGGAGUUGUGCGCGUUCUUGUGGGUGACCGCGAACAGUUUCAGUGCCGCUAGUAACAGCGAACUACGAAUAUUUCUCACAUUAUAAUCCUAAAUCCAAGGCCUGAGGAUUUGGAAGUGAAUUGCACGAGGCUGGAGGCUCGCCAGGCCCGGUUAAAAGCUGAAAACAAAGCUGGAAAAGCACAAUACAAAGGGCAAGAGCGAGACUUUACUGGUACAAACUAUAGAAGAGCACAUGCUAAUGAAUGGCAUUUGGCAAGACAGCUUUAGAUUUUCUCCUUGCCACUACAUCUGGACUGGCUACCCCAGUCUUCUAUGUAGUGGGAACUG